Molecule: ribosomal RNA, 460 nt
Filed under: uncultured bacterium
Lineage: Bacteria
Description: partial 16S ribosomal RNA
Rfam family: Bacterial small subunit ribosomal RNA
Source: RNAcentral
CCUACGGGAGGCAGCAGUGAGGAAUAUUGGUCAAUGGACGAGAGUCUGAACCAGCCAAGUAGCGUGAAUGAUGACUGCCCUAUGGGUUGUAAACUUCUUUUAUAUGGGAAUAAAAUGUUCCACGUGUGGGAUUUUGUAUGUACCAUAUGAAUAAGGAUCGGCUAACUCCGUGCCAGCAGCCGCGGUAAUACGGAGGAUCCGAGCUUUAUCCGGAUUUAUUGGGUUUAAAGGGAGCGUAGGUGGAUUGUUAAGUCAGUUGUGAAAGUUUGCGGCUCAACCGUAAAAUUGCAGUUGAAACUGGCAGUCUUGAGUACAGUAGAGGUGGGCGGAAUUCGUGGUGUAGCGGUGAAAUGCUUAGAUAUCACGAAGAACUCCGAUUGCGAAGGCAGUUCACUGGACUGCAACUGACACUGAGGCUCGAAAGUGUGGGUAUCAAACAGGAUUAGAUACCCCUGUAGUC